RNAcentral lists this ribosomal RNA (441 nucleotides) under uncultured bacterium. RNAcentral describes it as "partial 16S ribosomal RNA". It matches the Rfam family "Bacterial small subunit ribosomal RNA", at positions 338 to 795 of the family's 1533-position model. The record is from RNAcentral.
CCUACGGGUGGCAGCAGUGGGGAAUAUUGCACAAUGGGGGGAACCCUGAUGCAGCGACGCCGCGUGAGCGAGGAAGUAUUUCGGUAUGUAAAGCUCUAUCAGCAGGGACGAAAAAAGACGGUACCUGACUAAGAAGCCCCGGCUAACUACGCGCCAGCAGCCGCGGUAAGACGUAGGGGGCAAGCGUUAUCCGGAUUUACUGGGUGUAAAGGGAGCGUAGACGGCAAGGCAAGCCAGAAGUGAAAGGCCAGGGCUCAACCCUGUACAUGCUUUUGGAACUGUGGUGCUAGAGUGCAGGAGAGGUAAGUGGAAUUCCUAGUGUAGCGGUGAAAUGCGUAGAUAUUAGGAGGAACACCAGUGGCGAAGGCGGCUUACUGGACUGUAACUGACGUUGAGGCUCGAAAGCGUGGGGAGCAAACAGGAUUAGAUACCCGAGUAGUC